RNAcentral lists this ribosomal RNA (480 nucleotides) under uncultured bacterium. RNAcentral describes it as "partial 16S ribosomal RNA". It matches the Rfam family "Bacterial small subunit ribosomal RNA", at positions 28 to 507 of the family's 1533-position model. The record is from RNAcentral.
GAUGAACGCUAGCGGCAGGCCUAACACAUGCAAGUCGAGGGGGAGGUUACUUUCGGGUAACUGAGACCGGCGUACGGGUGCGUAACGCGUAUACAAUCUGCCUUUCACUGGGGGAUAGCCCGAAGAAAUUUGGAUUAAUACCCCAUAGUAUAGUAAUACGGCAUCGUGAUGCUAUUAAAGCUUAGGUGGUGAAAGAUGAGUAUGCGUUCUAUUAGCUAGUUGGAGAGGUAACGGCUCCCCAAGGCGAUGAUAGAUAGGGGUUCUGAGAGGGAUGUCCCCCACACUGGUACUGAGAUACGGACCAGACUCCUACGGGAGGCAGCAGUGAGGAAUAUUGGACAAUGGUCGGAAGACUGAUCCAGCCAUGCCGCGUGCAGGAUGAAGGUCUUAUGGAUUGUAAACUGCUUGUGUAAGGGAAGAAUAAGGGCUACGCGUAGUUUGAUGACGGUACCUUACGAAUAAGCAUCGGCUAACUCCGUG